Molecule: ribosomal RNA, 236 nt
Filed under: uncultured Staphylococcus sp.
Lineage: Bacteria; Bacillati; Bacillota; Bacilli; Caryophanales; Staphylococcaceae
Description: partial 16S ribosomal RNA
Rfam family: Bacterial small subunit ribosomal RNA
Source: RNAcentral
CGGGUGAGUAACACGUGGAUAACCUACCUAUAAGACUGGGAUAACUUCGGGAAACCGGAGCUAAUACCGGAUAAUAUUUUGAACCGCAUGGUUCAAAAGUGAAAGACGGUCUUGCUGUCACUUAUAGAUGGAUCCGCGCUGCAUUAGCUAGUUGGUAAGGUAACGGCUUACCAAGGCAACGAUGCAUAGCCACCUGAGAGGGUGAUCGGCCACACUGGAACUGAGACACGGUCCAG